ACACGGCUGCUGGGGAGAGUUCCGCGAACGCGGACGCCGAAGGGGCAAGUACCCGCAAAUCUCUCAGGCAUCAGGGACCCGCAGCCGUCA
Molecule: non-coding RNA, 90 nt
Filed under: Microbacterium sp.
Lineage: Bacteria; Bacillati; Actinomycetota; Actinomycetes; Micrococcales; Microbacteriaceae
Also listed under: 1 other name
Description: Glycine sequence
Rfam family: Glycine riboswitch aptamer
About the family: This family represents the bacterial glycine riboswitch.
Source: RNAcentral